GACCAAUCAGCAGGACAUGGGCGGGGCCAAACAAGGGAAUAAAAGCUGGCCACUGCAGUCAGCAGUGGCAACCUGCUUGGGUCCGCUUCCACACUGUGGAAGCUUUGCUCUUUCGCUCUUCACAAUAAAUCUUGCGGCUGCUCACUCUUUGGGUCUGCACUACCUUUAUGAGCUGUAACACUCACCAUGAGGGUCUGUGUCUUCAUUCCUUGAAGUCAGUGAGACCACGAACCCACUGGGAGGAACAAACAACUCCAGAUGCGCCACCUUUAAGAGCUGUAACACUCACCGCAAAGGUCUGUGGCUUCACUUCUGAAGUCAGCGAGACCACGAACCCACUGGAAGGAAGAAACUCCAGACACACCAUCUUUAAGAGCUGUAACACUCACCGCAAAGGUCUGUGGCUUCAUUCUCAAAGUCAGUGACACCAAGAACCCACCAGAAGGAAUAAAUUCUGGACACAUUUUGGUGACCACGAAGGGACUAUCACCUAUCGCCAAGUGGCAGGGGAAAAGCAUAGGAAAAUGAAUUUAAAAGAGUUCCCACUGGCCUGUGAGGGGGGGCGUUCCUUGGCUGGAAAAUGAGAAGCAGAGGACCAUCACAAGUAGAAGAGUUUCUGAUCAAUGGAGAAAACGUCCAGCAAACUGAAAUUGAGAGACGUUUUAU
RNAcentral lists this long non-coding RNA (666 nucleotides) under Homo sapiens (human). RNAcentral describes it as "HSALNT0051631". The record is from RNAcentral. Lineage: Eukaryota; Metazoa; Chordata; Mammalia; Primates; Hominidae.